CUCCCUGCCCUGCCCCAUUGCCGGGGGCUGCUAGGCACCCCCUUGUGGCCAGCUGUGGCAUAGCAGCUCUCCAGUCCCCCCAGCCCCAUGGGGAUUUCCAGUGACCCAGCUGGGUCACCAUCUUCAGUCCCCACCUUCUGAGGUCACCACUGUCCAAAGUGAGCAUCCCAAGCUGAACAAACCCUCCCACCUCUCUGGGCUAUUCCUCAGUCUGCCUUCAGGGCUCAGCUUGCAGCCCCCCUGGAAGAGUUGCCCCCCCCGGGCUUCAGCCCCAGGCCCCGUAUGCCACAGCUAGGUCUUCUGCUUUCUCCUGGGCCACUUCCUACUAAGCCGCUUACCUUCUCCCCGGCCUCCCUGCUCUGAGCAGCCUACCUGGUUCUCCUCACAGCUGGGCUUCAUCACCCCUCCAGCCAGGUUCUCCCUCUCUGCUGCAGCCACCUUCUGCCCUUUGUAGGGAAGUGCCCAGUCCCCUCAAGUGGGGCUUGGUCCAUAAUCAGGUUGGCUUAGGCCCCAGCUCUCCAGCCCACGGGACUGUUACUACCUGGGUUGGAAGCUCCUUGGGGCAGGGACUCGCUCUUGGUUGCGUGGGUUCCAGGCCCAGCUCCAUGGAGGGCCCCGACCCCCAUCUGGAUCCACAGGACGCCUGCGAUACACCUGGCGUUUCCCACACCGGUGAAACACUCGCCCUACGUGACGGUUGGUUUCCCCACUUUUCCAGGGCCAGCCUCCUGCAGGGCGACCCGGGGAGCAGGGCAGGCGCCGCCUUCGUGGGAAGGGACGUGCUCAGCGGCACCGCAACUUGGCCCAUGGAAGGAACAAAUCGGGCCGUGGGGCCAGCGCUUCCUGCGGGGGAACAAGACGGUGAAGGCAGGAAGCUCGGUGGGGUUUACAACCGGCCCCGGGAAAACUUUGUUGACUGGAUGAAUUCCAUUAGGGCAAAGCAGGGGCUGUUGGAGGCUGCGGCUUGGCCCCUGGAACGGUGAUUUCCCCUCAGCCCCUUGCUCCAGGCACUUGUGUCAGCGGGACGGACUCAGUCUGGCCCUGUGAGCUCCAGACACCACCACGUGCAGCUGC
This is a long non-coding RNA of Mauremys reevesii (Reeves's turtle), 1074 nucleotides long. RefSeq lists it as uncharacterized. The transcript has 2 exons. Lineage: Eukaryota; Metazoa; Chordata; Testudines; Geoemydidae. The record is from RefSeq and is a predicted model, not a curated record.